This 460-nucleotide ribosomal RNA is filed under the name uncultured bacterium. RNAcentral describes it as "partial 16S ribosomal RNA". It matches the Rfam family "Bacterial small subunit ribosomal RNA", at positions 338 to 795 of the family's 1533-position model. The record is from RNAcentral.
CCUACGGGAGACUGCAGUGAGGAAUAUUGGUCAAUGGGCGCGAGCCUGAACCAGCCAAGUAGCGUGAAGGAUGACUGCCCUACGGGUUGUAAACUUCUUUUAUAAAGGAAUAAAGUGAGGCACGUGUGCCUUUUUGUAUGUACUUUAUGAAUAAGGAUCGGCUAACUCCGUUCCAGCAGCAGCGGUAAUACGGAGGAGCCGAGCGUUAUCCGGAUUUAUUGGGUUUAAAGGGAGCGUAGAUGGUUUGUUAAGUCAGUUGUGAAAGUUUGCGGCUCAACCGUAAAAUUGCAAUUGAUACUGGCAGCCUUGAGUACAGUUGAGGUAGGCGGAAUUCGUGGUGGAGCGGUGAAAUGCUUAGAGAUCACGAAGAACUCCGAUUGCGAAGGCAGCUUACUAAACUGCCACUGACAUUGAUGCUCGAAAGUGUGGGUAUCAAACAGGAUUAGAUACCCGGGUAGUC